RNAcentral lists this unclassified non-coding RNA (2748 nucleotides) under Leishmania donovani. RNAcentral describes it as "gene:LdHU3.33.1910(CDS-product:ATPase_family_asso ciated_with_various_cellular_activities_(AAA)/AAA_domain_(d ynein-related_subfamily)_putative)". Lineage: Eukaryota; Euglenozoa; Kinetoplastea; Trypanosomatida; Trypanosomatidae. The record is from RNAcentral.
UCAAGUGAGUCAAAGGAGGAGAGCGCCGUUCCCCCUGCGUGUUUGCGACCGUCCCCAUUCACUCCCCAGGACGCGAACGGGCCGGCACGGCUGCUGCGGUGCCGUUCUUUUGGGGCUGCGCGCGUGUGUCCAGUAAGCCGAACACUCCACCUCUAUCCCCCGACCCCCCCCCACCCCCCGACCUCUCCGGUCAUCACCUCACUCUUCCUGUUCGUUCCCUUUUCUUUGCUGGAAAUUCACGCACAGACAAACACGCAACAAUGGACUCGUACACCGAUCUGCUGAAUCUCAACUUCAUGUACUCCCUGCGCACAGGGGACCUGUUGACGGACAUGAUGAUUGCGGCGCUGCUGCCGCUCGUGUCGAGUGCGAUUGUAUACCUCACACGUACAUGGUGGCCGCAGCUGGUGAAUCGCGCCCUCUCCUAUCUCUCCAAGGUUGACAGCGCGAGUGCUACCUUCAAGAUGCUAGAGAACGGCAGUGGGCUCUACUAUGGUCAUACCCUUCGUGUGGCGCUGUCGACGUAUGUGACGAAGGUGCUGAAGCCUCGCUUCGACAUAGCAGAGCUGAAGUACCUCUCGAUUCCCGGAAAGGAGCUUCAAGAUGCGGCGAACUACACCGAGGCCCUGCGAGACUACUGCUUCGUGAACGCCAGCCCGGCCAAGGAGCUUCCCAUGCGUCUCACGGAGCACCUCGAGUUGAGGCAGACCCUGACAAGAAACGACGACGACGGCGGACGGAACAAAGACGCAGGCCGUCACGGCAGGUGUGGGAGCUCACAAGCGCCCCAGGAGUCGCUAUUCACCAUCACGCAGUACAAGCAUAGCUUCCCCGCACUCAUGAAAUUUCUCCGCUUGGCGCACGAGAGCACGGCGGAGGGUUCUGAAAAGAGCGAGGCCGUCGCGCAACUGGAGCGCGACGCCAACGCCGACGGCGACGCUAUUCAGUCUCUCCUUGAACGCUCACUGGAACACUACCGCCUCGAGUAUAAAGAAAUCACGGCGCGCACGGAUCGCUACCUCUAUCAACCGCUGUUGACGCGGCGGAAGCUCAGGUUUGGUUCUGAUGGCGCAGAGAGGGGCCACAACGAGGGCGCGAUGGAGUGCAACCGCUAUCUUCUGCACGCCGGCAAGACGUUUCAGUCUCUCUUCUUCCCCGCGAAGCCGCGCCUUAUUCAGCUCAUCGACGACUUUGAGAAGAAGACCGGCAAGUACGCCAUCCCCGGGUACCCUCAAAAGCUAGUGCUGCUGCUCUACGGGCCUCCCGGCACCGGCAAAACGAGUCUUGCCAAGGCUGUUGCCGCCCACACUAAGCGGGACUUGUUUGCCAUCUCGCUCUCGCGCAUCCGCAGCGACGAGGAGCUGAUGAAGUGCAUGUUCAGCGGUCGCUUUAAGGUGAGCGAUAAAAGAGAUGGCGAUAAGGUGAACUACGACGACUGCAGCUGCGACUCGGAGUUGCUGGACCCGGCGAAGCUGGUGUACAUCCUCGAGGACGUGGACGCCACGACGGCGGUCGUCCUCAAGGAUGAGUCAGAGGAGGUAGAAACGGGAGGCGAAGCACAGAAGCAGCGGGAGAGACGCGAGGAGGAGGCCUCGACAGCUGCACCGCCGUCAAGCGAUUCAACGAGCAGCGAUGGGGAGUCUGAGGAAGAGAACGAUAUGGCUGAGAACGAGAGUGGCGAAGGUGCCGUCGUUGAGAGCCACGACGCGGGCAGGGAUGCCACCGACGAAGUCUCGCCGGGGGUCUUGACGCAGCGCGAAGUGGUGAAGGUAAAGAGCAAGAGGCAAACGAUCGAUCGCGCCCUCACUAUCGAUGGGCUCACGAACGCGCUGAACGGUGUGCUGGACUUUCCCCAGCGCAUUGUCAUUAUGACCACAAACCACAUCGAAAGGCUGCACCCGUCGCUGCUGCGGCCUGGCGUAGUUACAAUGAAGCUGCACAUGCACAACUUUGACGCGGCGUGUGCGGUGGACAUGGUGAGGCACUACUUCUCUCACACAACGCUUCUCCCGGGACAGCUGGAGGAGCUGCGCUCGUUGCUGGAGGCGGCGUCGGCGAAAGCAUCAAAGGUGGACACCACUGCGUCCAUUUCGGAUGAGGUUGCUGAAAGCAGCGCUCUGGGAACGAAAGGCUUCAGCCCCGCGGAGCUGGAGCAGCACUGCGCCGAAUGUGACACGAUAGAGGAAUUGCUGGAGGUGCUUCGCCAGGGUAGCCGCGUGAACAUAUUCUGAAGCGGAGAAAGUAGGCAGCCGCAUCAUCGUCGCGGCGAUGAGGGUGGCAUGUCGGGUCAUGUGUUGUCUGGGUUUCUUGCGUUUUCCUUUCUCCCUAGGCCGUGUGACGCCUCUCGGUUCUUUGACCCUUGUCUCGCCGUUCUCGUGUGCGCCUCUCACCCACCCCCUCCCGACCCUCCUGCGCCACAUCGGCUGGGUAAUGAUAGCAGCAGGAGAGGUUGUGCGGCGAGGUGCGGCACCAUGAGGAAAAGGCGUGCGUGUCCGUGUGUUGAUGUCGCACGAGAGCGAUCAAAAGCUCUUUUGUGUGUUUUUUUUUUCGUUUGCCAGUUCUCAUUUGAUUCUUGUCUGCAUGCGUGUGUGUGUGUGUGUGUGUGUGUGUAUGUGUGUCUGCCCCAUCCCCUCCUCACCGCGCUCCCCCUCUCCUGUGCCUCCCCCUCCACCUUUCCAUACCCCCUCUUCCAGCAGCGCAAAGAAAAAGGAAGACCAGAGUAGCGCGCACCCGCACGCGCACAAACAC